Molecule: ribosomal RNA, 777 nt
Filed under: Cenozosia inanis
Lineage: Eukaryota; Fungi; Ascomycota; Lecanoromycetes; Lecanorales; Ramalinaceae
Description: SSU rRNA
Rfam family: Bacterial small subunit ribosomal RNA
Source: RNAcentral
AGCAACUUGGAGGAAUGUAUAGCUACGGCUAAUUGUGUAUUAAUGCACAAGAUCGACUCUGUCGAAUAAAAUUCUGGGUAGAUUAUGAUAAUGACAUUUUUUACCUAUGUGUCUUGACCAAAUUGUGUGCCAGCAGUCGCGGUAAUACAUAGAAGACUAGUGUUAUUCAUCUUUAAUAGGUUUAAAGAGUACCUAGACGGUAAAUCAAGCCUUAGACGGGACUAAUUUGCUAGAGUUACUUAUGAGGGGGCUUUAAAGUACUAAUGGUGUAGUGAUAAAAUUUUGUAAUACCAUUUUUUGUAAUGAAAAGUUAUGGCACUGGUAAAGGUGAAAGCAUCCCCCUAUGUGAUAACUGACGUUGAAGGACGAAGGCUUUGGGUCGCGAAUAGGAUUAGAUACCCUAGUAGUCAAAGCAGAAAAUUAUGAGUGUCAUAGAUUAGAUAAUAGAUAGUUUAUUCUAUAAAUGAAAGUGUAAGCACUCCACCUCAAGAGUAAUUUGGCAACAUUGGAACUGAAAUCAUUAGACCGUUUCUGAAACCAGUAGUGAAGUAUGUUGUUUAAUUCGAUGAUCCGCGAAAAACCUUACCACAACUUGAAUAUGUAUAUCUUUGAUAUAUUUACAAGCGUUGCACGGCUGUCUUCAGUUAAUGUCGUGAGACUUUGGUUAGAUCCAUUAAAUUAACGUAAGCCCUUACUUUAUUUUUAUAUAAAGUAGUUCUCCACUAUAUUGGAUAAGAUAACAGGGACUAAGACAAGUCAUCAUGGCCUGAAUGUUGU